Molecule: ribosomal RNA, 663 nt
Filed under: uncultured Methanimicrococcus sp.
Lineage: Archaea; Methanobacteriati; Methanobacteriota; Methanomicrobia; Methanosarcinales; Methanosarcinaceae
Description: bacterial SSU rRNA
Rfam family: Archaeal small subunit ribosomal RNA
Source: RNAcentral
AGGAUGGUCUGCGCUAUCAGUAGUAGUGGGUGUAAUGUACUACUAGCCUACAACGGGUACGGGUUGUGAGAGCAAGAGCCGGAGAUGGAUUCUGAGACAUGAAUCAGGCCCUACGGGGCGCAGCAGGCGCGAAAACUUUACAAUGCAGGAAACUGUGAUAAGGAGACACCGAGUGCUCGCAUCAAAUGCGGGCUGUCCGCUUACUUAAAUCGUAAGCGUUAGCAAGGGCCGGGCAAGACCGGUGCCAGCCGCCGCGGUAAUACCGGUGGCCCGAGUGGUAGCCGCUUUUAUUGGGUCUAAAGGGUCCGUAGCCGGUUCGGUCAGUCCAUUGGGAAAUCCGGAUGCUCAACAUCCGGGCUUCCAGUGGAUACUGCCGAACUUGGGAUCGGGGGAGGUAAGAGGUACUAUAGGGGUAGGAGUGAAAUCUUGUAAUCCCUGUGGGACCACCUGUGGCGAAGGCGUCUUACCAAAACGAGUCCGACGGUGAGGGACGAAAGCUGGGGGCACGAACCGGAUUAGAUACCCGGGUAGUCCCAGCCGUAAACGAUGCUCGCUAGGUGUCAGGCAUGGCGUGACUGUGUUUGGUGCCGAAGGGAAGCCGUGAAGCGAGCCACCUGGGAAGUACGGCCGCAAGGCUGAAACUUAAAGGAAUUGGCGGGGGAG